CGAGGCCGAGCCGCUGAACUGCUGCCAGGUUCGCUCCGGGUCCACGCCGCCCGCCCCGCGUCCUCCUCCGCCGCCGCCGCUGCCAUGGGAGUGCAGGUGGAGACCAUCUCCCCUGAAGACGGGCGCACCUUCCCGAAGCGCGGCCAGACCUGCGUGGUGCACUACACCGGGAUGCUUGAAGAUGGAAAGAAAUUUGAUUCCUCCCGGGACAGAAACAAGCCUUUUAAGUUUAUGCUAGGCAAACAAGAGGUGAUCCGAGGCUGGGAAGAAGGGGUGGCCCAGAUGAGUGUGGGUCAGAGAGCUAAGCUGACGAUCUCUCCAGACUAUGCCUAUGGAGCCACUGGGCACCCUGGCAUCAUCCCACCACAUGCCACUCUCGUGUUUGAUGUGGAGCUUCUAAAACUGGAAUGACAGAAGUGGCCUCUUUCUUUAGUUCUCUGCACAUGGAUCUGCCAUGGAGGGAUCUGGGGCCUCCGAGACGUGUGCACAUGAAUCCAUGAGGAGCUUUUCCUGAUGUCCCACUCCACUCUUUGUAUAGACAUCUA
This is an RNA transcript of Nannospalax galili (Upper Galilee mountains blind mole rat), 545 nucleotides long. It is a transcript of the gene named peptidyl-prolyl cis-trans isomerase FKBP1A pseudogene, with no coding region annotated. The record is from RefSeq and is a predicted model, not a curated record. The transcript has a single exon. NCBI's taxonomy places the organism in Eukaryota, Metazoa, Chordata, Mammalia, Rodentia, Spalacidae.